RNAcentral lists this ribosomal RNA (496 nucleotides) under uncultured bacterium. Its description in RNAcentral is "partial 16S ribosomal RNA". It matches the Rfam family "Bacterial small subunit ribosomal RNA", at positions 28 to 506 of the family's 1533-position model. The record is from RNAcentral.
GAUGAACGCUGGCGGCGUGCCUAAUACAUGCAAGUCGAGCGAACGGACGAGAAGCUUGCUUCUCUGAUGUUAGCGGCGGACGGGUGAGUAACACGUGGAUAACCUACCUAUAAGACUGGGAUAACUUCGGGAAACCGUAGCUAAUACCGGAUAAUAUUUUGAACCGCAUGGUUCAAAAGUGAAAGACGGUCUUGCUGUCACUUAUAGAUGGAUCCGCGCUGCAUUAGCUAGUUGGUAAGGUAACGGCUUACCAAGGCAACGAUGCAUAGCCGACCUGAGAGGGUGGUCGGCCACACUGGAACUGAGACACGGUCCAGACUCCUACGGGAGGCAGCAGUAGGGAAUCUUCCGCAAUGGGCGAAAGCCUGACGGAGCAACGCCGCGUGAGUGAUGAAGGUCUUCGGAUCGUAAAACUCUGUUAUUAGGGAAGAACAUAUGUGUAAGUAACUGUGCACAUCUUGACGGUACCUAAUCAGAAAGCCACGGCUAACUACGU